RNAcentral lists this ribosomal RNA (449 nucleotides) under uncultured bacterium. RNAcentral's name for it is "partial 16S ribosomal RNA". It matches the Rfam family "Bacterial small subunit ribosomal RNA", at positions 354 to 796 of the family's 1533-position model. The record is from RNAcentral.
GUGGGGAAUUUUGGACAAUGGGCGCAAGCCUGAUCCAGCAAUGCCGCGUGCAGGAAGAAGGCCUUCGGGUUGUAAACUGCUUUUGUACGGAACGAAACGGUCCGGGUUAAUACCCUGGGCUAAUGACGGUACCGUAAGAAUAAGCACCGGCUAACUACGUGCCAGCAGCCGCGGUAAUACGUAGGGUGCAAGCGUUAAUCGGAAUUACUGGGCGUAAAGCGUGCGCAGGCGGUUUUGUAAGACAGGCGUGAAAUCCCCGGGCUCAACCUGGGAAUUGCGCUUGUGACUGCAAGGCUGGAGUGCGGCAGAGGGGGAUGGAAUUCCGCGUGUAGCAGUGAAAUGCGUAGAUAUGCGGAGGAACACCGAUGGCGAAGGCAAUCCCCUGGACCUGUACUGACGCUCAUGCACGAAAGCGUGGGGAGCAAACAGGAUUAGAAACCCCAGUGUCC